Molecule: long non-coding RNA, 1393 nt
Organism: Maniola jurtina (meadow brown)
Lineage: Eukaryota; Metazoa; Arthropoda; Insecta; Lepidoptera; Nymphalidae
Exons: 2
Source: RefSeq, a predicted model, not a curated record
UCUUUGACAUUUUAUUUACAAUAUAUUAAUAUUCUCUGUAUUUAAUCUGUGUUACAUCGCUCGUAAUCAGUUCAGGCACUGUGCACACACAUCCGUCAAAGCGCCACACAGAACAUUUAGGUACAACAAAACAUAAUAUUACACAUUCAAUACCUCACUUUUUCAUAUGAAAUCUAGAUAAACCAAUAAACUCUGAACGGCUUGUGUCGAAAGGAGCUCAUUCGCACGAUAAAUCUCCUACGUUGCUUUAAAUUUAUGUAUAACCUAUUUAGAUACAUACAUAAAAAAAUUAAUAAAAUUCUUACAUUUAUUGCACUAGAAGAUGGCCGCGACUUCGUCCGCCUGAUUUUGGUUUCAAAAAUCCCUUGGAAGCUCUGAUUUUCCGGGAUAAAAAGUUCCCUUUUUAAAUUUCCGGGAUGCAAGCUAGAUACCUCUGUACCAAAUUUCAUCAAAAUUGGUUCAACUGUUGGGCCGUGAAAAGCUAGUAGACAGACAGACAGAUACACUUUCGCAUUUAUAAAUAUUAGUGUGGAAGAAACAACUCAUUUUAGCACAAACACUGUUGUGAAUUGGUAAAUCUGCACGGCAAGACAUAUUCGAAGGCUUGUGUAUGUAUGAUUACAUAUGAGUACGCAUAACUACAAAAAUCUACAUGCUACUUACUAUUCAAGUGCAAAAUUCAAUUAAGAAAAAAAAGUGCAAAAUUCAAUUAAGUAAAAAUUAAGGAAAAAGUGAGGUCAUUGGAUAAACGGGACAAGUUUGUAAUUUUAAAUUGAGAUUUUAAACCACAAACUCAUAAGAUGAUGCUCCUGAACGAAACUUGAGUUAAUUUUUAGUACAAUAUUAUUAUCUAACAAUUAACACAAAAUGGGAACACCAAAAGUUUAUAUUAUUGACUAUAUUAUAUUACUUUAUUAAUAAACGCGGAAAAGCAACAGAUAACUUGAAAAUAUUAGAAUACAUAAUAAAAAGGGAUGAACCACCAUAGAAAGUACUCGUACAUAAUAAUAUGGUAUUUGCCUGUGUCAAAAAUAAGUUAUUUUUUAGGAAUUGUUAAAUAGAAGGUCUUCCAAAAUAGGUAAAAUCCACGUAGGUAUAUUGUUAGUUUUAAGUGUAAUAACCAUUUUUAAUUAUCGAUUAAACUGAAAAAGCACGUCAAAUCAUUGUGACGACACAUGCCAGUAUUUCUCCCAUACUAAGCGCGUGCUUUGUCCUUUGACUAGUUGUCAAACACCUGAUUCAAAUUGAAUGGUCUGUAGCGAUAAGUGGAACUAUUCCGCGUUUAUUAAUAAGGCAGCGUGUCUCAUUUAUAAAAAGACCUAUUUACGCAAACUAAAACAAAUUCACACAUAAUGACAGUUUUGAGAAAAAGCAGUUUUUGUCCAAAUUGUGU